This 440-nucleotide ribosomal RNA is filed under the name uncultured bacterium. RNAcentral describes it as "partial 16S ribosomal RNA". It matches the Rfam family "Bacterial small subunit ribosomal RNA", at positions 338 to 795 of the family's 1533-position model. The record is from RNAcentral.
CCUACGGGUGGCAGCAGUGGGGAAUAUUGGACAAUGGGGGGAACCCUGAUCCAGCGACGCCGCGUGAGUGAAGAAGUAUUUCGGUAUGUAAAGCUCUAUCAGCAGGGAAGAAAAUGACGGUACCUGACUAAGAAGCCCCGGCUAAAUACGUGCCAGCAGCCGCGGUAAUAAGUAGGGGGCAAGCGUUAUCCGGAUUUACUGGGUGGAAAGGGAGCGUAGACGGUGCAGCAAGUCUGAUGUGAAAGGUCGGGGCGCAACCCUGGGACUGCAUUGGAAACUGUUUAACUUGAGUACAGGAGAGGUGAGCGGAAGUCCUAGUGUAGCGGUGAAAUGCGUAGAUAUUAGGAGGAACACCAGUGGCGAAGGCGGCUUACUGGACUGUAACUGACGUUGAGGCUCGAAAGCGUGGGGAGCAAACAGGAGUAGAUACCCGAGUAGUC